GCCCUCGUAGCUCAGGGGAUAGAGCGUCGCUUUCCUCAACCGUCCGUCGCAGGUUCGAAUCCUGCCGAGGGCG
Molecule: transfer RNA, 73 nt
Filed under: Acidimicrobiales bacterium
Lineage: Bacteria; Bacillati; Actinomycetota; Acidimicrobiia; Acidimicrobiales
Description: tRNA-Arg
Rfam family: tRNA
About the family: Transfer RNA (tRNA) molecules are approximately 80 nucleotides in length. Their secondary structure includes four short double-helical elements and three loops (D, anti-codon, and T loops).
Source: RNAcentral